RNAcentral lists this ribosomal RNA (446 nucleotides) under uncultured bacterium. RNAcentral describes it as "partial 16S ribosomal RNA". It matches the Rfam family "Bacterial small subunit ribosomal RNA", at positions 338 to 795 of the family's 1533-position model. The record is from RNAcentral.
CCUACGGGUGGCUGCAGUCGAGAAUCAUUCACAAUGGGGGAAACCCUGAUGGUGCGACGCCGCGUGGGGGAAUGAAGGUCUUCGGAUUGUAAACCCCUGUCAUGUGGGAGCAAAUUAAAAAGAUAGUACCACAAGAGGAAGAGACGGCUAACUCUGUGCCAGCAGCCGCGGUAAUACAGAGGUCUCAAGCGUUGUUCGGAAUCACUGGGCGUAAGGCGUGCGUAGGCUGUUUCGUAAGUCGUGUGUGAAAGGCGCGGGCUCAACCCGCGGACGGCACAUGAUACUGCGAGACUAGAGUAAUGUAGGGGGAACCGGAAUUCUCGGUGUAGCAGUGAAAUGCGUAGAUAUCGAGAGGAACACUCGUGGCGAAGGCGGGUUCCUGGACAUUAACUGACGCUGAGGCACGAAGGCCAGGGGAGCGAAAGGGAUUAGAUACCCGGGUAGUC